AACGCGAAGAACCUUACCCAGACUUGACAUCCACGGAAUCCUUCAGAGAUGAGGGAGUGCCCGCAAGGGAGCCGUGAGACAGGUGCUGCAUGGCUGUCGUCAGCUCGUGUCGUGAGAUGUUGGGUUAAGUCCCGCAACGAGCGCAACCCUCGCCUUUAGUUGCCAUCAUUCAGUUGGGCACUCUAGAGGGACUGCCGGUGUCAAGCCGGAGGAAGGUGGGGAUGACGUCAAGUCCUCAUGGCCUUUAUGUCUGGGGCUACACACGUGCUACAAUGGCCGGUACAGAGGGAUGCAAAGCCGCGAGGUGGAGCUAAUCCCAGAAAACCGGUCCCAGUUCGGAUCGAAGUCUGCAACUCGACUUCGUGAAGUCGGAAUCGCUAGUAAUCGCGGAUCAGAACGCCGCGGUGAAUACGUUCCCGGGCCUUGUACACACCGCAUAC
Molecule: ribosomal RNA, 440 nt
Filed under: uncultured bacterium
Lineage: Bacteria
Description: bacterial SSU rRNA
Rfam family: Bacterial small subunit ribosomal RNA
Source: RNAcentral